UUGGUGCAUGACUGUAGAACUUUAAGCAAUGAUGAAAAUGCUCUAUAUCCACACUAUCCAAUAUGGUUCUGCUUGAAUUCUUGCCCUGGCUCUUGGUGAAGGAUCGGCCUGCUGGAUCUGAGUCAUCCACCUAUAAGAGGGACAACACCACACAUUGGUCGCUGCUCUCAAGCCCCUGGAAUACCACCCCACUUGGCUUCUCCUGGUAACAGUGGCUGCCUUUGCUUGCCUGUCUCCAACUCCUCCCAAGAGCAUUGCUGACUAUACCACCCACAUAAACAAAAACUUUUUGGGAGUCCUCCAGAAUUUUUAAGAGUUAUCUAAACUAUUGCCUUUAAUGACCAGGAACUCCAAUUUGAGAAGUUACCCUACGUUAAGCCAACAGCAGCCUGGCUCCUUCAUCCUGUGCAGUAUGGGACAGAGCUGGGUCCUUGUUGUCAUCAGCCAGACAAGCACACAUUAAAGCCCACCUUAGCCAUUGGCAUUACAGCUUUAAAAGCAGCUCCAUCCUACCAUGCUGUCACUCUACUCAAUCACGUGAUCUUAACG
This 549-nucleotide long non-coding RNA is filed under the name Homo sapiens (human). Its description in RNAcentral is "non-protein coding LINC02020:19". The record is from RNAcentral. Lineage: Eukaryota; Metazoa; Chordata; Mammalia; Primates; Hominidae.